This 253-nucleotide ribosomal RNA is filed under the name uncultured bacterium. Its description in RNAcentral is "partial 16S ribosomal RNA". It matches the Rfam family "Bacterial small subunit ribosomal RNA", at positions 524 to 776 of the family's 1533-position model. The record is from RNAcentral.
UACGAAGGGGGCUAGCGUUGUUCGGAUUUACUGGGCGUAAAGCGCUCGUAGGCGGAUCGUUCAGUCAGGUGUGAAAUCCCAGAGCUCAACUCUGGAACUGCCUUUGAUACUGUCGAUCUGGAGUAUGGAAGAGGUGAGUGGAAUUCCGAGUGUAGAGGUGAAAUUCGUAGAUAUUCGGAGGAACACCAGUGGCGAAGGCGGCUCUCUGGUCCAUUACUGACGCUGAGGUGCGAAAGCGUGGGGAGCAAACAGG